RNAcentral lists this transfer RNA (73 nucleotides) under Mus musculus (house mouse). Its description in RNAcentral is "tRNA-Ser". The record is from RNAcentral. Lineage: Eukaryota; Metazoa; Chordata; Mammalia; Rodentia; Muridae.
GGAGAGAUGGCUCAGUGGUUAAGAGCACUGACUGCUCUUCCAGAGAUCCUGAGUUCAAUUCCCAGCAACCACA